This 528-nucleotide ribosomal RNA is filed under the name Bifidobacterium pseudocatenulatum. Its description in RNAcentral is "bacterial SSU rRNA". It matches the Rfam family "Bacterial small subunit ribosomal RNA", at positions 161 to 701 of the family's 1533-position model. The record is from RNAcentral. Lineage: Bacteria; Bacillati; Actinomycetota; Actinomycetes; Bifidobacteriales; Bifidobacteriaceae.
UGGUAAUGCCGGAUGCUCCGACUCCUCGCAUGGGGUGUCGGGAAAGAUUUCAUCGGUAUGGGAUGGGGUCGCGUCCUAUCAGGUAGUCGGCGGGGUAACGGCCCACCGAGCCUACGACGGGUAGCCGGCCUGAGAGGGCGACCGGCCACAUUGGGACUGAGAUACGGCCCAGACUCCUACGGGAGGCAGCAGUGGGGAAUAUUGCACAAUGGGCGCAAGCCUGAUGCAGCGACGCCGCGUGCGGGAUGACGGCCUUCGGGUUGUAAACCGCUUUUGAUCGGGAGCAAGCCUUCGGGUGAGUGUACCUUUCGAAUAAGCACCGGCUAACUACGUGCCAGCAGCCGCGGUAAUACGUAGGGUGCAAGCGUUAUCCGGAAUUAUUGGGCGUAAAGGGCUCGUAGGCGGUUCGUCGCGUCCGGUGUGAAAGUCCAUCGCUUAACGGUGGAUCUGCGCCGGGUACGGGCGGGCUGGAGUGCGGUAGGGGAGACUGGAAUUCCCGGUGUAACGGUGGAAUGUGUAGAUAUCGGG